Molecule: ribosomal RNA, 502 nt
Filed under: Nesophrosyne imbricola
Lineage: Eukaryota; Metazoa; Arthropoda; Insecta; Hemiptera; Cicadellidae
Description: partial 16S ribosomal RNA
Source: RNAcentral
UAAGAAUUUAAAAGUCGAACAGACUUAUUUUUAAGAAUUCUGCUUCUUAAAAUAACCUUAAUUCAACAUCGAGGUCGCAAAACACAAUAUAGAUAUGAACUCCCCAUCGAAAUUACGCUGUUAUCCCUAAGGUAACUAAAUCUUAUUAUCCCUUUAAUUAAGGAUCUAUAACUUCAUAAAUAAAUGAACUUAAAAACUAAAGUUAAAUAUUUAGCUGCCUCCCCAGCAAAAUAUAAAUAAACAUCAAAAAAUAUGUUAAUAAAAUUUUAUAAACAUAAAAUCAUAUAAAGUUCUAUAGGGUCUUAUCGUCCCAAUAAAUUAAUAAAGCAUUUUAACCUUAAAUUUAAGUUUUAACAUUUAAAGAAAUAAAAUAUAAUUCUCAUACAUCCAUUCAUACAAGCUUUCAAUUAAAAAACUAAUUACUAUGCUACCUUUGCACAGUCAAAAUACUGCAGCCAUUUAGAAACGAACCAUCGGGCAGAAGAUACUUUUCAUAAAAUCA